RNAcentral lists this ribosomal RNA (1535 nucleotides) under Pseudomonadota bacterium. RNAcentral describes it as "bacterial SSU rRNA". It matches the Rfam family "Bacterial small subunit ribosomal RNA". The record is from RNAcentral. Lineage: Bacteria; Pseudomonadati; Pseudomonadota.
UAAUUGAAGAGUUUGAUCAUGGCUCAGAUUGAACGCUGGCGGUAGGCUUAACACAUGCAAGUCGUGCGAGAAAGUAUCUUCGGAUAUGAGUAGAGCGGCGGACGGGUGAGUAACGCGUAGGAAUCUACCUAGUAGAAGGGGAUAGCCCGGGGAAACUCGGAUUAAUACCGUAUACCUCCUUCGGGAGAAAGAAGGCCUCUCUUUGAAGCUUUCGCUAUUAGAUGAGCCUGCGUAAGAUUAGCUUGUUGGUGAGGUAAAGGCUCACCAAGGCGACGAUCUUUAGCGGGUCUGAGAGGACGAUCCGCCACAUUGGGACUGAGACACGGCCCAGACUCCUACGGGAGGCAGCAGUGGGGAAUAUUGGACAAUGGGCGCAAGCCUGAUCCAGCCAUACCGCGUGUGUGAAGAAGGCCCUAGGGUUGUAAAGCACUUUAAGUUGGGAAGAAAAGUUAUUGGUUAAUACCCAAUAACCGUGACAUUACCAUCAGAAUAAGGACCGGCUAAUUCCGUGCCAGCAGCCGCGGUAAUACGGAAGGUCCAAGCGUUAAUCGGAAUUACUGGGCGUAAAGCGCGCGUAGGUGGUUUAUUAAGUUGGAUGUGAAAUCCCCGGGCUCAACCUGGGAACUGCAUCCAAAACUGAUUCACUAGAGUACGAUAGAGGGAGGUAGAAUUCACAGUGUAGCGGUGGAAUGCGUAGAUAUUGUGAAGAAUACCAAUGGCGAAGGCAGCCUCCUGGAUCUGUACUGACACUGAGGUGCGAAAGCGUGGGUAGCGAACAGGAUUAGAUACCCUGGUAGUCCACGCCGUAAACGAUGUCAACUAGCUGUUGGAAAACUAUGUUUUUCAGUGGCGCAGCUAACGUAGUAAGUUGACCGCCUGGGGAGUACGGCCGCAAGGCUAAAACUCAAAUGAAUUGACGGGGACCCGCACAAGCGGUGGAGCAUGUGGUUUAAUUCGAUGCAACGCGAAAAACCUUACCUAUACUUGACAUACUUGGAAUGCUUUGUAAUGAAGUAGUGCCCUCGGGAGCCAAGAUACAGGUGCUGCAUGGCUGUCGUCAGCUCGUGUCGUGAGAUGUUCCGUUAAGUCGGAUAACGAGCGCAACCCUUACCCUUAUUUGCCAGCGAUUCGGUCGGGAACUAUAAGGGGACUGCCGGUGAUAAACCGGAGGAAGGUGAGGACGACGUCAAGUCAUCAUGGCCCUUACGUAUAGGGCUACACACGUGCUACAAUGGAGAAUACAGACGGACGCUAAGCCGCGAGGUGGUGCUAAUCCUAGAAAAUUCUUCGUAGUCCGGAUUGGAGUCUGCAACUCGACUCCAUGAAGUCGGAAUCGCUAGUAAUCGCGAAUCAGCAUGUCGCGGUGAAUACGUUCUCGGGUCUUGUACACACCGCCCGUCAUACCAUGGAAGUGGAUUGCACCAGAAGUAGAUAGUCUAACCUUCGGGAGGGCGUUUACCACGGUGUGCUUCAUGACUGGGGUAAAGUCGUAACAAGGUAGCCGUAGGGGAACCUGUGGCUGGAUCACCUCCUUA